Erpetoichthys calabaricus (reedfish) is the source of this 346-nucleotide long non-coding RNA. RefSeq lists it as uncharacterized. The transcript is spliced from 2 exons. Lineage: Eukaryota; Metazoa; Chordata; Cladistia; Polypteriformes; Polypteridae. The record is from RefSeq and is a predicted model, not a curated record.
UUAUCAACCAAUUUUGGUUCCAAUGUUAAUAAUAGCUUACGGCAAAUUAAAUCAUCUACCUUAUGGGGCGCCUUCCGGAUUGUCAAGAAACUGAAGAUUUCAUACAAUGGGGUCUAUUACUGUCUUUAGAGAAGAUGGCAAACUGUAUCUAACCAGGAUAGAAGAAGAAGGGGAAGGCCAAGACAGGCAGCUGCAUAAUCCGUCCUCAGCAGGCUUCUGUCCCAAAUACACACCUAGUCGAAGUGUGCAAUUUCAGGUGACUCCUUUUGCCUCAUGUGCUCCGUAGAGCUUUAUUUUGUUAUAGGGCAUUUUGUUGUACAAAUAAAUGUUUUUACUUAUAAAGAUA